ACUUUGCAUCUUUCCUCCCCUGCUUUGAUACAAACUGGAUCCCUAGCUAUGAAAUGCAGCCACUUCUGGGGUGGAGCCAGUGACAGCAAUGGAGCUGAUAUGUAACACAGUGAUGAUAAUAAGUUUAUGAACACUGUGUGCGACCUAGUCAGUGAUGGGAAGUUAUUGCCUGUUGGGGCUCCUCACAGGGUGGCUGGUUCUUUAACAGGAAACAGGUCUUAGCCCCGCCUGUGACAUUGUUAAUUCUCUUUCCCCAGGUGGGGAAAAUCAAGAUGGGUAAUUGAUACAAUCAGGACUCUGGGAUAAAUAAAGGAGAGGCUUAAAGAAGGUGGCAGGGUAGUAAGGUGCCUGUAGGCUAUCUUGAGCUACCAGGGGAGGACUAGAAGAAUGGGUUUGCCUGGGAUCUCUAAGCCAUAGAGAAAACAACCCAGGGAGAAUUUUGGAUCCUCUCCUAGGUGGGGGAAGAAGGACUCCAGAUAGGAACGCCUGAGGGUGAUGCUUGCAGAGCCCCCAGACUAGCAGAAAAUGCAAGAGCUGACCCUGGAGAGACCAGAGCAGCAGGAUUUGAGCCUGAGUCAGACCUGCUGAGGUCACCACAGAUCCCGGCUGGCAAAACGUAUAGCAACCCUGUGACACCAUGAAGUUGCAGAGCCCACUUUGCAAACCAAUUGGAAGGCGCUCCCGCCCCAGUGACUAAGACUAGUGUGGGAGUUUUGCCUAAAUGAAUUGACCAGAAUACGAAAAUCCCAACCAAACAAACUGUUAUUAGUCAUCACUACUAGUAAAUUGUAAAUAAAGCUUGAACCUGUGGGAUAUAGUGUAUAAGCCACAACUGAGGACUUCUGCAAUGGAAAAAAUAUAUAUUUUUGUUUUAAAGAGACAAAACACCAGAGAAAUGUUCAGAGAUAAGGCUGUUGCCCCUCACUCAGUUUUAGAUAAAGAAAGA
Long non-coding RNA from Mauremys mutica (yellowpond turtle), 946 nucleotides. RefSeq lists it as uncharacterized. The transcript is spliced from 4 exons. Lineage: Eukaryota; Metazoa; Chordata; Testudines; Geoemydidae. The record is from RefSeq and is a predicted model, not a curated record.